ACUCUCAUGGGGAGAGUUUAUGCGGAAACCCACCGCGUACCAGGCUAGAACCUGGCAACAAAUAAAAGGAGAAACAAAUG
RNAcentral lists this non-coding RNA (80 nucleotides) under unclassified sequences. RNAcentral's name for it is "freshwater-2 RNA". It matches the Rfam family "freshwater-2 RNA". Rfam says of the family: Aquatic, esp. fresh water. No recognized genes The record is from RNAcentral.